This 402-nucleotide ribosomal RNA is filed under the name bacterium. RNAcentral's name for it is "partial 16S ribosomal RNA". It matches the Rfam family "Bacterial small subunit ribosomal RNA", at positions 355 to 776 of the family's 1533-position model. The record is from RNAcentral.
UGGGGAAUUUUGCACAAUGGGGGAAACCCUGAUGCAGCGACGCCGCGUGAUUUAGAAGGCCUUCGGGUUGUAAAAAUCUUUUCUAUGGGAAGAAAAUGACAGUACCAUAGGAAUAAGGACCGGCUAAUUACGUGCCAGCAGCCGCGGUAAUACGUAAGGUCCGGGCGUUGUCCGGAAUCAUUGGGCGUAAAGGGUACGUAGGCGGGUAAGCAAGUUAGAAGUGAAAUCCUAUAGCUCAACUAUAGUAAGCUUUUAAAACUGCUCAUCUUGAGGUAUGGAAGGGAAAGUGGAAUUCCUAGUGUAGCGGUGAAAUGCGCAGAUAUUAGGAGGAAUACCGGUGGCGAAGGCGACUUUCUGGCCAUAACCUGACGCUGAGGUACGAAAGCGUGGGUAGCAAACAGG